ACUCCUGCGGGAGGCAGCAGUGGGGAAUAUUGGACAAUGGGCGCAAGCCUGAUCCAGCCAUGCCGCGUGAGUGAUGAAGGCCCUAGGGUUGUAAAGCUCUUUCACCGGUGAAGAUAAUGACGGUAACCGGAGAAGAAGCCCCGGCUAACUUCGUGCCAGCAGCCGCGGUAAUACGAAGGGGGCUAGCGUUGUUCGGAUUUACUGGGCGUAAAGCGCACGUAGGCGGACUAUUAAGUCAGGGGUGAAAUCCCGGGGCUCAACCCCGGAACUGCCUUUGAUACUGGUAGUCUUGAGUUCGAGAGAGGUGAGUGGAAUUCCGAGUGUAGAGGUGAAAUUCGUAGAUAUUCGGAGGAACACCAGUGGCGAAGGCGGCUCACUGGCUCGAUACUGACGCUGAGGUGCGAAAGCGUGGGGAGCAAACAGGAUUAGAUACCCCAGUAGUCC
This 444-nucleotide ribosomal RNA is filed under the name uncultured organism. Its description in RNAcentral is "partial 16S ribosomal RNA". It matches the Rfam family "Bacterial small subunit ribosomal RNA", at positions 335 to 796 of the family's 1533-position model. The record is from RNAcentral.